ACGCACGCUGGCGGCGUGCUUAACACAUGCAGGUCGAACGGAAAGGCCCUGCUUUUGUGGGGUGCUCGAGUGGCGAACGGGUGAGUAACACGUGAGUAACCUGCCCUUGACUUUGGGAUAACUUCAGGAAACUGGGGCUAAUACCGGAUAGGAGCUCCUGCUGCAUGGUGGGGGUUGGAAAGUUUCGGCGGUUGGGGAUGGACUCGCGGCUUAUCAGCUUGUUGGUGGGGUAGUGGCUUACCAAGGCUUUGACGGGUAGCCGGCCUGAGAGGGUGACCGGCCACAUUGGGACUGAGAUACGGCCCAGACUCCUACGGGAGGCAGCAGGGGGGAAUAUUGCACAAUGGGCGGAAGCCUGAUGCAGCAACGCCGCGUGCGGGAUGACGGCCUUCGGGUUGUAAACCGCUUUCGCCUGUGACGAAGCGUGAGUGACGGUAAUGGGUAAAGAAGCACCGGCUAACUACGUG
RNAcentral lists this ribosomal RNA (467 nucleotides) under uncultured bacterium. RNAcentral describes it as "partial 16S ribosomal RNA". It matches the Rfam family "Bacterial small subunit ribosomal RNA", at positions 29 to 507 of the family's 1533-position model. The record is from RNAcentral.